AAGUCGUAACAAGGUUUCCGUAGGUGAACCUGCGGAAGGAUCAUUCACAAUAAGAGUGUUUAUGGCACUCUUUCAAAAAAUCCAUACCCACCUUGUGUGCAAUGUAAAAAAAAAAAGGAGUUUUCUUGUGGUUUGGGAGUGAGAGUUGUUUUACAACGCUCAUUUUUUUUUUUUUCCUCAAGAGACACUUUUUUUUUCAUUUCAUAUACACCUUUCUAUAAGUUUCCUAUUGUCUGAAGUACUUGGAAUAAAUAUAAUUCUAAAAUACAACUUUCAACAACGGAUCUCUUGGCUCUC
RNAcentral lists this unclassified non-coding RNA (297 nucleotides) under Mortierella sp. RNAcentral describes it as "partial internal transcribed spacer region". The stretch from base 1 to 46 matches the Rfam family "Eukaryotic small subunit ribosomal RNA", at positions 1786 to 1831 of the family's 1831-position model. Lineage: Eukaryota; Fungi; Mortierellomycota; Mortierellomycetes; Mortierellales; Mortierellaceae. The record is from RNAcentral. RNAcentral also lists the same sequence under 1 other name.